UGAGGAACAUGACUUUCGGUGGGGGAGUAGCCGGCCCAACGGCCGGGUAAUACCGCGUACGACCUCUUGGGGACAUCCCCGAGUGGUGAAAGCAGCAAUGCGCCGAAAGAGUGCCUCGCGGCCUAUCAGCUAGUUGGUGGGGUAAUGGCUCACCAAGGCGACGACGGGUAGCUGGUCUGAGAGGAUGGCCAGCCACAGUUGGGACUGAGACACGGCCCAGACUCCGUACGGGAGNAG
RNAcentral lists this ribosomal RNA (237 nucleotides) under uncultured bacterium. RNAcentral's name for it is "partial 16S ribosomal RNA". It matches the Rfam family "Bacterial small subunit ribosomal RNA", at positions 118 to 347 of the family's 1533-position model. The record is from RNAcentral.